GGCGAUUCGGCCCAAAAGUCCGUCGGCCCACCGGGAAAAUGCCCGGUAUGCCAGAUGGCCAGUCCAGCCCUGGUUGUGGAAGGAGUACUCAGAUACACUCUCCAAAGACUCAACUGUCAAAAACGAACAGAAACAGGAAACUCACACUUUAAGGUCAGAUGCAGACGACAGACAGCUUCCUGCAUGCUGGAAAAACAGGGAGGCCAACAAAGGUCAUGGAAUAAGUGAGACAAUAUGGAAAAAUAGAUAUAUAUAUAUAUAUAUGCAGCAGAUAACUAAACUGCAAAUUAUUCAAGAAAGAAAUAUAGAAUCCACACAUUCAAAUACACACAAUUAUACAAAAAGCCGAAUAAUCACGGCAUCUAUUUAAACAGGUAGAUUUCCUCAGAGGGGAUGGAGUUAUAUAUAAUUGAUGGCUUGCCUCAGUCUGCCCAUCACUCGUGAAUAACUCCUCGCUAGAGCAUGCACACAAAUGGUGGUUUGUAAUCCUGAAAUACUUAAAUCAUAAGAACCUUUGAACAUUAAUCUUUUAGUAGGCUACAUGGGGGAAAGGGGGGAUUUUUACACAGGACUUCUAUAGAUGUAUUUAACUGAAUGACAUUGUGCCAGUAUACAGCUGAAUACCACACAGCAUGAAGGGCCUACAAAUGACAACUAAAAACAAAAUGUGAUCCUGCGGAACUUUUUGUUUAUAAUUUACAUGUAUGUUUUAACUGGGCCCUGGGAAGGUACAAUCGAAAAAGAGACACAAAACAUUGUGCAUCACUUUAUAAUAUCCAAUUAUAUUGAUUUUAGACAGAAGCUAUGUUACAAGGGGUAAUUAUUGAUUGAAAUAAAAUAAUACCAUUUAAGUUCAGUAAAUAUAAUGUGACUAUGGUGUUGUUGUGUUGCACCAUGUGUGCUGGCUGUAUAAAUAGAAAUAGAAACGUUUAUGCAUUACCCAUACUACUUUUAUUUAAAACAUACCUAUAUCUUGUAUAGGCUAAGAUUAAGAUCGUGGUGGAUGUUGAUGUGGUAAUGAUGGACCUAGACACACACACACACACACACAC
Long non-coding RNA from Perca fluviatilis (European perch), 1052 nucleotides. RefSeq lists it as uncharacterized. Lineage: Eukaryota; Metazoa; Chordata; Actinopteri; Perciformes; Percidae. The record is from RefSeq and is a predicted model, not a curated record. The transcript is spliced from 3 exons.